RNAcentral lists this long non-coding RNA (566 nucleotides) under Homo sapiens (human). RNAcentral describes it as "HSALNT0303586". The record is from RNAcentral. Lineage: Eukaryota; Metazoa; Chordata; Mammalia; Primates; Hominidae.
GCCGCUGCCUCUUCCUUCCUCCUGCGCCGUCCCCUCCUCGGCCCGGGCGGGGGGCUCCGCGCGCUGAGCUCGGUCGGGCCGGGCGCUCCGGGAGGCGGGAGCCCCAGGCGGCGGCGGCGGCGGCCGCGACGGUGGUGGCGGCGGCGGCGCGGGCCGGGAAACUUUGCCCCUUUGUGCGCUCCGCCCCGGAGGCGGCGGGCAGGCAGCACUGCCUUCUCCAGCGUCCAGACCCUGGAGGAAAAAUACCAGGAGAAACUGCUCACUCAGCUCUGCCCCCACCACACCCCUACCUGCUCAACUCAUGCCUGGGUCCAGGGUGGGUGAGGGUGAAGAACCCACCGGGCCAAGAUGAUCCCUUUUCUGAGGGCUGCUGCUGGUGUCCUCCCCCAGAUCCUGGGCCCCAGCAGGUGGGAGAGUGGCCCCCUACGGAGUCCGAUCAGACUGCUGCAGAGGAGGUGAAGAGGGGUUGAGAAGAGGCAUCCAUCCACGAGACUGAAGCCACUUGCCUUCACCCUUGUAGACUCUUGACUGUUCUAGGCGAGAAGGACCUGUUGGUGGCCUUUGGA